This 415-nucleotide ribosomal RNA is filed under the name Wolbachia endosymbiont of Cimex lectularius. RNAcentral's name for it is "bacterial SSU rRNA". It matches the Rfam family "Bacterial small subunit ribosomal RNA", at positions 1003 to 1416 of the family's 1533-position model. The record is from RNAcentral. Lineage: Bacteria; Pseudomonadati; Pseudomonadota; Alphaproteobacteria; Rickettsiales; Anaplasmataceae.
GAAGGGAUAGGGUCGGUUCGGCCGGAUUUCACACAGGUGUUGCAUGGCUGUCGUCAGCUCGUGUCGUGAGAUGUUGGGUUAAGUCCCGCAACGAGCGUAACCCUCAUCCUUAGUUACCAUCGGGUAAUGCUGGGGACUUUAAGGAAACUGCUAGUGAUAAACUGGAGGAAGGUGGGGAUGAUGUCAAGUCAUCAUGGCCUUUAUGGAGUGGGCUACACACGUGCUACAAUGGUGGCUACAAUGGGCUGCAAAGUCGCGAGGCUAAGCUAAUCUCUUAAAAGCCAUCUCAGUUCGGAUUGUACUCUGCAACUCGAGUGCAUGAAGUUGGAAUCGCUAGUAAUCGUGGAUCAGCAUGCCACGGUGAAUACGUUCUCGGGUCUUGUACACACUGCCCGUCACGCCAUGGGAAUUGGUU